CUACGGGAGACUGCAGUGAGGAAUUUUGCGCAAUGGGGGAAACCCUGACGCAGCAACGCCGCGUGAGCGAAGAAGGCCCUCGGGUCGUAAAGCUCUGUCAAGUGGGAAAAAAAUUUUUUGAUCGAUAGUCAAAAGACUUGAUGGUACCACUGGAGGAAGCACCGGCUAAUUCCGUGCCAGCAGCCGCGGUAAUACGGAGGGUGCGAGCGUUGUUCGGAUUUACUGGGCGUAAAGAGCGUGUAGGCGGUUCAGCAAGUCAGAUGUGAAAGCCCUGGGCUCAACCCGGGAAGUGCAUUUGAAACUGCUUCACUAGAGUAUGGGAGAGGAGAUUGGAAUUCCUGGUGUAGAGGUGAAAUUCGUAGAUAUCAGGAGGAACACCCGUGGCGAAGGCGAUUCUCUGGACCAAUACUGACGCUGAGACGCGAAAGCGUGGGGAGCAAACAGGAUUAGAUACCCCUGUAGUC
This 464-nucleotide ribosomal RNA is filed under the name uncultured bacterium. Its description in RNAcentral is "partial 16S ribosomal RNA". It matches the Rfam family "Bacterial small subunit ribosomal RNA", at positions 339 to 795 of the family's 1533-position model. The record is from RNAcentral.